Tripterygium wilfordii is the source of this 2908-nucleotide RNA transcript. It is a transcript of the gene named protein DENND6A-like, with no coding region annotated. The record is from RefSeq and is a predicted model, not a curated record. NCBI's taxonomy places the organism in Eukaryota, Viridiplantae, Streptophyta, Magnoliopsida, Celastrales, Celastraceae. The transcript has 6 exons.
AUAAACCAAUUUUGCUCCUUUAAAAAAAACCGUUCAGGGCCUCGGCAAUCAAAAGCAAGAAAAUUGAGAUUUGAUUGACGAGCUUUAUUAGAUUGAUUUCUCCUCCUUUGUAAUAUACGCUAAAUUCCCAAUAAUUUCAAGGUGUUAAACCCACGGAAAGCCCUCAAUUCGUACUUUUGCGGAGGAGAUCGAAGGCUUAAAAUUUAGUGAGAUUCUCCAUUUUCUUUUCGACUGCUCUGAUUUUCGGCGGUGACCCAACUAUUAUUUUCCCAUUGGGUAUCAGUUUUUACCUAGAUCCAGACUGGUUCUUUGGAUGUCGUUGAUGGGUUCUUGUUUCCAGGUCUUGGACACCUCACCACAAUUCCUGCGGAAUUGAGUGGAAUAGUAGAUGAAUAUGCUCUUGAAUUUCCCUACAAUGAGAGUACAUGCCCUUGGUUUCAGUGGGGGUUGCAGUUUAUGACAAUAUAGAAUGUUAAUGGGUGACUGAAGUUGUGGACUGUUCAAGAAAUGAGUCGAUCCCCUUCAUUCUCUGUCAAGCCAGAGCAUAUUUUAAAGCCCGACCCUGAUUCACUGCAGCGAUGGGUUGUUGCAUUUUGCGUCAUUAGAUUUGAUCUUGAACAGGGUCAGCUCAUUGAGGAGUGUUACCCACCUGGUUGUCUUACACAUGAUGAGGAACUUGAGGUUGCUUUUAGUUCAUUCCCAGAUUCAGUUUCCCAGCAUCAAAAUCGCUCAAGCAUUCAUGAUUGCAUUUUCUUUUUCCGGAUCCAAAGGCAAGAAAAUGUGGCUCAAUCUGAGAUAACAGAAAACGAUGAUCAAGAACCAUCUUUAAAGUCUACUUUGAAUCAAGUGAUUAAAAGGACUGGAUACAAUGAUGAUGGUCGAGGUUUUAAAUACUUGUAUGGCUAUGUUUUUAAUAGGCAGAGACAUGAUGAGAGGCUCAAGCGAGGUGGCGAACAAAAAUCCGUAGUUAUAUUGUCUCAUAGUCCUUACUCUAGUGUUUUUAGACCUUUGUUACAAAUCAUGGGUCCCUUGUUUUUUGAUAUAGGAACGAAAGCCCUUGAGCAUAUUGCUGCCUGCGUUUCACUGUGGCCGGCUCCAGUGCCAGGUAAGCAAAUGGAGCUUCCUAUAGGAAAUGCUACACUUAAAGCUUACUUGCCACCUGCUCAUAGCUUGCCAGUGGAAGAUGGAAUUUCCUUCGAAGAGUCUGCUUCCUCUGUGGCUCCUUUUCUUCCUAAUAACCAGUCAGUUCCACAAGGUCUUUUUCAUGAUUCGGAUCUUUUUGGUACAUUCCGAGGCAUUUUGUUGCAGCUUUGGGUUUUGUGGGAGCUCUUGCUUAUUGGUGAACCCAUUCUUGUCAUAGCUCCAACACCUCCCCAAUGCUGUGAGGCUGUUGCUGGUCUAGUUAGCUUGGUUGCACCACUUCUUUGUAGCAUUGAUUUUCGGCCAUACUUCACCAUCCAUGAUCCGGAGUUUGCACAGUUAAACUCACUUCAAGAAGGGGACAUUUUCCCUCCGAUGGUAUUGGGUGUGACAAACCUCUUUUUCCUUAAAGCCCUUCGUAAUAUUCCCCACAUUGUAUCGGUGGGAACUGCUGCUCCUAAUUCAAACCGUGCUGCCAUUUCAAGUAGGUCUUCAACUGGAAGAAUUACUGGCAGACCAGAGGCAUUUGGUUUUCAACAGCUUUCCUUGAAAAAAUUUUCUCCGUCAAGUUUGUUGAAUGCUGUGAAGUUAAGAAGAGAUGGACCUCUUUGUCUCAUGACAGAACACAAGGAAGCAAUUUGGAGCACUUACAAUGCAACCACCAAACCAGAUACUUCUAUCCUUAAUAGACUUAUUGAUGCUGGGAUGUCCCCAAGGGUGGAGGAAUCAAUGUCAGUUGUUAACAAUGAGAUUUUGCGUCGGCACUUCUUGGAGCUCACGACCAACUUUUUGGCUCCUUUGGGCCCAUAUUUUAGGGUUACCACACCUUCUGAAAGAUCUUCACCAUUUGUUGAUCCUCCUCCUCUUCCUCCAUUUAAUGCUGAUGAAUUUCUUGCAAGCUUAUCGUCAAGAGGUGUUGGGAAGUUCUUAGCAAAGCGGAUGAGAUCUAACUGGCUGGACUUGUACAGGCGGUUUAUAAAAGGACAUAACUUCUUGCCAUGGUUUAGAAGAAGGCGUGCUGUUGCUGAACUAGAACAAUAUCGACUAUGGAAGCAUGCAAGAAUCAAGACUAAUAUACAACCAUUUGUAGCUAAAAUGUCUGAACUGGAAAUAGUUGACUCCUUCAAUUGUAUUGAGAGACAUCUGCUGGGAGAAAUAGAGCUACAGCAAUUGGGAAGGGCUAGUGAAGACAGUGUAAUGGCUUGUGAGAAACUGAAGAGUGAUUUGCAGGCAGUGUUCAAUGUGCUUCCCAUUGACAUGCAGCAACUUUUGCUUCUCAGCCCAGAAAGGGCAGCUCUUUUGCAAGAAAUCAAGAAAUGACAGAACUUCCUGUGCUCUUUCUUUACAAAGUUGAUUUGCAUCUUUCAGAUGUGUGAGAAUACAAAGACCUUUCAUUCCCGUGCCAAGAGCAUUUGAGUUUAUUUUAGAAAUAUGAUUUGGAAAGCCUCUCUUUUGUACGUUGUCUUUUUUUAAACAAGCUCAAGAGACGAGAUGGUACCACCUCAACUGGGGCAGCACCCCCUGCGUAUGGUAUACAUUAAUUUUCUGUUUCUAAUCUCUCUUUUGGAGUAUUGCUUUAUGUUAUUUGCUUUUUAAACUUUGCUCCUAGUUGCUUCUUGCAUUUCACCUGUAAGUCUGUAACUCAUCACUGGAGGAUGCCAAUUUAGGUUUGUAAUCUUGUGCCGUAUCACAAUCUUCUGGAUCUUGCAUUUCUGCAAUCUUGAUUUGUAGCCUUAAUGAGAAAGUUCAUGUUUAACAAAUUGAAAUA